GAUGACGGCCUUCGGGUUGUAAACCUCUUUUAGUAGGGAAGAAGCGAGAGUGACGGUACCUGCAGAAAAAGCACCGGCUAACUACGUGCCAGCAGCCGCGGUAAUACGUAGGGUGCGAGCGUUGUCCGGAAUUAUUGGGCGUAAAGAGCUCGUAGGCGGUCUGUCGCGUCUGCUGUGAAAUCCCGAGGCUCAACCUCGGGCGUGCAGUGGGUACGGGCAGACUAGAGUGCGGUAGGGGAGAAUGGAACUCCUGGUGUAGCGGUGGAAUGCGCAGAUAUCAGGAAGAACACCGAUGGCGAAGGCAGUUCUCUGGGCCGUAACUGACGCUGAGGAGCGAAAGCGUGGGGAGCGAACAGGAUUAGAUACCCUGGUAGUCCACGCCGUAAACGUUGGGCGCUAGAUGUGGGGACCAUUCCACGGUUUCCGUGUCGUAGCUAACGCAUUAAGCGCCCCGCCUGGGGAGUACGGCCGCAAGGCUAAAACUCAAAGGAAUUGACGGGGGCCCGCACAAGCGGCGGAGCAUGCGGAUUAAUUCGAUGCAACGCGAAGAACCUUACCAAGGCUUGACAUACACCGGUAAAGGCUGGAAACAGUCUCCCCCUUGUGGUCGGUGUACAGGUGGUGCAUGGUUGUCGUCAGCUCGUGUCGUGAGAUGUUGGGUUAAGUCCCGCAACGAGCGCAACCCUCGUUCUAUGUUGCCAGCACGUAAUGGUGGGAACUCAUAGGAGACUGCCGGGGUCAACUCGGAGGAAGGUGGGGAUGACGUCAAAUCAUCAUGCCCCUUAUGUCUUGGGCUUCACGCAUGCUACAAUGGCCGGUACAAAGGGCUGCGAUGCUGUAAAGCGGAGCGAAUCCCAAAAAGCCGGUCUCAGUUCGGAUUGAGGUCUGCAACUCGACCUCAUGAAGUCGGAGUCGCUAGUAAUCGCAGAUCAGCAACGCUGCGGUGAAUACGUUCCCGGGCCUUGUACACACCGCCCGUCAAGUCAUGAAAGUCGGUAACACCCGAAGCCAG
This 1012-nucleotide ribosomal RNA is filed under the name Microbacteriaceae bacterium. RNAcentral describes it as "bacterial SSU rRNA". It matches the Rfam family "Bacterial small subunit ribosomal RNA", at positions 407 to 1430 of the family's 1533-position model. Lineage: Bacteria; Bacillati; Actinomycetota; Actinomycetes; Micrococcales; Microbacteriaceae. The record is from RNAcentral.